Molecule: ribosomal RNA, 238 nt
Filed under: uncultured bacterium
Lineage: Bacteria
Description: partial 16S ribosomal RNA
Rfam family: Bacterial small subunit ribosomal RNA
Source: RNAcentral
CACGCUGUAAACGAUGAAAACUAAGUAUUGCCGCGAGGCAGUGCUGUAGCUAACGCAUUAAGUUUUCCGCCUGGGGAGUACGCUCGCAAGAGUGAAACUUAAAGGAAUUGACGGGGGCCCGCACAAGCAGUGGAGCAUGUGGUUUAAUUCGACGCUACGCGAAGAACCUUACCUGGACUUGACAUACCCUGAAUAUCUUAGAGAUAAGAGAAGCCCUUCGGGGCAGGGAUACAGGUGG